RNAcentral lists this long non-coding RNA (2013 nucleotides) under Heterocephalus glaber (naked mole-rat). RNAcentral's name for it is "lncRNA (ENSHGLG00000045379.1)". The record is from RNAcentral. Lineage: Eukaryota; Metazoa; Chordata; Mammalia; Rodentia; Bathyergidae.
GCGUUUGUUGUCGGUUCGAGGCGCGGGUCUUAGGCCCUCUCUCUGCGCUCUCGGUGACUGUCACCCUCCCUCUCUGCACAGACAGCCUCGAGCCCCAGUCUCGGGAGGGCGUGGCCACCUGUAGGGCGGGCUCCCAAUCUCGUCCCUGCUCGACCCUGGGACGGGCAGCCUGGUGCUAGGGAAGGGCAGGGCGGUGGCCAGGACUGUGCGGAGCCCAGCUGGGCCGGGAGACAGGCUAAAGCCGCCUCAGCCUCAGGCAGCCAGCGCCAGCCACGUGGCCACAGGCCUGCGUACGGAGCUGCAGCUGGGCACAGGCCGCCGCGGGAGGCUGAGAUGCCCCAGGCGGCUCGGGGCGGGCAGGGGGGAGAGGAGCGGGAGUUUUGAGAGCCGAGGUUUGGCUGGACCGAUGCGCGGGUCGCCGAGCUGACGGCCCCUCCCUCCAGCGUCUUCUCCUGAGCUUUCCUUGCCCUCUGCCUGGCGGCCCCCGCUGUGGGGCCCCCCGGUGCUUCACCGUUUCUCUCUCCCUCCUUCUACCGGCCGAAGCUGUGCUUCCUUUAAGCCAACUCAGUCCCUCCAGGAAGCCCCAGGUGCUGUGUUCCUCGACCUUCGUGUCCAGGGUUCCCAGACUCACUGCUGGCAUCUGGAGACGGAUGUGGGCUCUGCGGCCGUGGCUCAGUGGUUUGACCCGGUGUCUCAGUCUCUUCCUCUGGGAAAUGGGGACGGCAGAGCCCUCACGGCAGAUGGAGGGCGGCUGUCUCUGAGCUGCUCCCCGCGAUCCGUGAGUGCGGUGAAGGUCACUGCGCUGCCCCCGCCCCAGGGAAGCCGGCCAGCACCCUGCGCUCCCGCUGGGCCAAGCCUCGGGCUGAGGGGUUCAGUGUGGAGCCCGCCUCCCCUCAUCUGUAGCCUCCUGCAGCAUGAUGUCGCUCCAGUGCUGGCGCCUCGUUCCUUCUCUAAAGCUGAAGCCGGUCCCGACUGCAGCGCGGGCGACUGCGCUCCUCGCGAGAUCCGUGCGCCCCGCUUCACUGCCUUCUCACUUCCUGCCCCACUCAGUCCUCCGAGGGAGGGCGCCCCUCUCACGGCUCGGCCGGCCGUCACCUCCCUGGCCUCCACCUGGGCGGGCACUGGGUCUGCACUUUGUCGCUGAGAGCUCAAAGACGAGAACCUGAUCCCUGGCCCAGUGGAGCCUGGAUCAGACCACAGGCGGGCUCACGCCAGGUCUGCUUUCAUUUCCAGGACUCACCGCGCCUCGCAGCCCCAGGGCCUUGCGGAACUCUGAGCAGCGCUUCAUCUGCUGUUGGUUCCGACCCUCGGGGAACUCUGCUGAAGGGGGUCCGUGAGCAGCUGCUGAUGACACAAAGCCGGGGUGCGGGUCCUCUGAGCGGGCCACGCCUUCGCGGUCCCCACCUGUAUCCAGGACCUCAGCGUCCGGCCGCUUCUCGUGAGGGACUGGCUUCCCUCUGUGUGCCCUCUCCUUCCCCCAGCCGGACAGCUGCUACCAAGGUCCGGGCGGACUCCUUAUUUCAAGGAACCUGGAUUUACAGCAUUUUGAACCGGGUCGUGAUCUCAGGGCAACCCUUCUCCAUACUGGAAUUUUACAUGGAUUAAGCGAUCAGACCAUAUCCUAGGAGUUGGACUAGGGAGAACGGUCAUGUUUCAGUUCUCAACAAACUCUGUCUCCAUGAGACGUCACGGUACCAGUCCUCAAAAGCAUGCUGAGCAGGUUUCCCAGGACAGAACAGCGCAAACAACCCAGAAGACGCGUGUAGGGCGAGUGCUGCCACAGGACGCAGUACCUGGAGCCAGCAGAAGGAGUUCAAGCCUGGACUUGGCCACGCUACAAUGGCAGUGCGACGCUGGGUACACCCAGGAGCAUCCUCUGUGCCUCAGUCUACUCAUUCCUAAGCGAGGAUGAUAUUAGUACCUAGCUUGUGGGGUUUGUCCUGAGCAUCUCACUGCAGGAGUUAACGCUUUACUGCUAUUAAAAUAGUGUCUAGACCAUAGAAAGUUCUAUUU